AGAGUUUGAUCCUGGCUCAGGAUGAACGCCGGCGGUGUGCCUAAUACAUGCAAGUCGUACGCACUGGCCCAACUGAUUGAUGGUGCUUGCACCUGAUUGACGAUGGAUCACCAGUGGGUGGCGGACGGGUGAGUAACACGUAGGUAACCUGCCCCGGAGCGGGGGAUAACAUUUGGAAACAGAUGCUAAUACCGCAUAACAACAAAAGCCACAUGGCUUUUGUUUGAAAGAUGGCCUUGGCUAUCACUCUGGGAUGGACCUGCGGUGCAUUAGCUAGUUGGUAAGGUAACGGCUUACCAAGGCGAUGAUGCAUAGCCGAGUUGAGAGACUGAUCGGCCACAAUGGAACUGAGACACGGUCCAUACUCCUACGGGAGGCAGCAGUAGGGAAUCUUCCACAAUGGGCGCAAGCCUGAUGGAGCAACACCGCGUGAGUGAAGAAGGGUUUCGGCUCGUAAAGCUCUGUUGUUGGAGAAGAACGUGCGUGAGAGUAACUGUUCACGCAGUGACGGUAUCCAACCAGAAAGUCACGGCUAACUACGUGCCAGCAGCCGCGGUAAUACGUAGGUGGCAAGCGUUAUCCGGAUUUAUUGGGCGUAAAGCGAGCGCAGGCGGUUGCUUAGGUCUGAUGUGAAAGCCUUCGGCUUAACCGAAGAAGUGCAUCGGAAACCGGGCGACUUGAGUGCAGAAGAGGACAGUGGAACUCCAUGUGUAGCGGUGGAAUGCGUAGAUAUAUGGAAGAACACCAGUGGCGAAGGCGGCUGUCUGGUCUGCAACUGACGCUGAGGCUCGAAAGCAUGGGUAGCGAACAGGAUUAGAUACCCUGGUAGUCCAUGCCGUAAACGAUGAGUGCUAGGUGUUGGAGGGUUUCCGCCCUUCAGUGCCGGAGCUAACGCAUUAAGCACUCCGCCUGGGGAGUACGACCGCAAGGUUGAAACUCAAAGGAAUUGACGGGGGCCCGCACAAGCGGUGGAGCAUGUGGUUUAAUUCGAAGCUACGCGAAGAACCUUACCAGGUCUUGACAUCUUGCGCUAACCUUAGAGAUAAGGCGUUCCCUUCGGGGACGCAAUGACAGGUGGUGCAUGGUCGUCGUCAGCUCGUGUCGUGAGAUGUUGGGUUAAGUCCCGCAACGAGCGCAACCCUUGUUACUAGUUGCCAGCAUUAAGUUGGGCACUCUAGUGAGACUGCCGGUGACAAACCGGAGGAAGGUGGGGACGACGUCAGAUCAUCAUGCCCCUUAUGACCUGGGCUACACACGUGCUACAAUGGACGGUACAACGAGUCGCAAGCUCGCGAGAGUAAGCUAAUCUCUUAAAGCCGUUCUCAGUUCGGACUGUAGGCUGCAACUCGCCUACACGAAGUCGGAAUCGCUAGUAAUCGCGGAUCAGCAUGCCGCGGUGAAUACGUUCCCGGGCCUUGUACUCACCGCCCGUCA
This 1434-nucleotide ribosomal RNA is filed under the name uncultured bacterium. RNAcentral's name for it is "bacterial SSU rRNA". It matches the Rfam family "Bacterial small subunit ribosomal RNA". The record is from RNAcentral.